UUCAUUCGGUGUCCGAUACCCGCAUCGGAGCCUGACUAAUCCAGAUUCGCACCGGGUAGGGUCCCAUUCGAGGGUAGCUCUCCCAACAGAGUUUUCUCCAUGCCUAUGGUCAAACCUCGACCUCUGAUUAAAGGUGGAGCAAUCUCAUCCGCUGCACUAUAACCCAUGUUAUAGUACUUUUUGUUAAUUUAUUUUAAUUUAUUAAAUAAAUAUAAAUUGGUUCUGUGUAAGCUUUUAUUUUUUUCCACAAUAACAACAAUAUACCCAUUGUAGUUUCACAAUAUGGGGUGUAAGAACGGUCGAGUAUUCUCAGACCUUACCUCUAUCAUUGCGAUAGAGAGGGCGAUUCUAAUAGAUCUUCGACUCAAAAUAAUAAUAUUUCAAAAAGAAAGUAAUGGAAGUAUAAGAAAUAACAGAUAAUGACAAAAACAACAAAUAGUAGAUUACAACGCUACAGGAAGAUAAUAAUAUAAUCAAAUUACAUAAAACAACAGAUAAUACCAAAAAUCAAAGAACAAAAAAUUAUAAUAAAGCAAUACAAUGACUAUGACCUUACCUCUACCAUCGAAAUAGAGAGGUUGAUUCUAAUAGAUCUUCGACUCAAAAUAAUAAUAUUCCAAAAAAGAAGUAAUGAAAGUAUAAGAAAUAACAGAUAAUGACAAAAACAACAAAUAGUAGAUUACAAUGUUACAGAAAGAUAAUACUAUAAUCAAAAUACACAAAACAACAGAUAAUACGUGAAAUCGAAGAACAAAAAACCAUAAUAAAGUAAUUCAAUGACUAUUAUUAUGGACUAUUACAAUCUUUUUCUCAACUUUGUUAAUAAAAAAUGUGUUUAAAGUUUUAUUUUUUAAGAAAAGAUCUUUUUUCAGGUUACAUUAUUAACAAACAAAAAAACUGUUGGAUUAUGGGUAUGGGUCAUCCAUGUGGACCCGACUCGACCCUUUUAUCUUAGUUAGAAAAUAAGAUUAAUAGAUAAUCUUAAUUCAAAAAAAAGGGAACGGUUAUAACUGAUCCCACCCAAAAAGAUCGCUAUAUGAUCUCUUUUCUGUUUUUCUGACAAGGGCAAGAAAUAAAUAUACAGAGAGAAAAACUAAGUCGAAAAAUAAGUAAUUGAAAUUAACAAAAACAUCAAAACAAGAGCAUUUAGUUGGUGAAAUGAUUUUGUUUUCAAGAAAAACGAAGUGGACUUGGGGCAGAUCAUUUCGGAAGCAAAAAUAAUUUCCGCUGUGAAUUUAAGAUACACAACUUAUUAUUGUUUUGCUCCAAAUUUACUACAAUGGCAUCAGAGACAGAAAUGGCUUAACGGGGACAAACUCGAAUCACUCCAAGUAGGAGUUCUGAAUGUCGAGCAAAGAGGCAAGGUAGAAGGGCGCAUCGUUGAAGGGCAUGUUUUCGAGGUCGUGAGAUCAUACGAAAUGGUGUCCCAAGGGCGACACAAAAUUUGUUAUGGAAUGAAAGAGCAAUACAAAGGGAAAGAGAAAAGAAAUUGAAAGAGCUCAAGUCUUUUAAGAUGUCACCUAACAUUAGUGUUGCUAGUUUUAUACAUCUAUUUGAAAUGAAACGUGUAGAACUAGAAAACUAUGUAAAAAUCUCGGAUUGAGAAGAAUUAGCUAUAUUAUCAAAUUCUCUCCGUGAUCCUUGGGGCGAGAGAUUAAUUGAUGUUUACCAUGAGAUUUGGUCUAGCGAGCCUUUUUGGGUGUACAUAAGUCGUCUAGAAUAUUUGUGGAAUGACUUUUAUUUUUAGAUUGACUUGUAACAUGAAGUUAUUUAUUAACUUUAUAUAUAUAUAUAUUUUAAGUUGUUUA
This is a long non-coding RNA of Capsicum annuum, 1808 nucleotides long. RefSeq lists it as uncharacterized. NCBI's taxonomy places the organism in Eukaryota, Viridiplantae, Streptophyta, Magnoliopsida, Solanales, Solanaceae. The transcript has 2 exons. The record is from RefSeq and is a predicted model, not a curated record.